RNAcentral lists this long non-coding RNA (762 nucleotides) under Vulpes vulpes (red fox). RNAcentral describes it as "lncRNA (ENSVVUG00000026365.1)". Lineage: Eukaryota; Metazoa; Chordata; Mammalia; Carnivora; Canidae. The record is from RNAcentral.
GGCAGCUCUAGCGGUUGGACUGAUCACGUGCCGCUGCCAUCGGCCAUCAGGCCGCAGUCGGCCCGGACCCAGAGCGCACGCACGACCUUGCCUCCGCAGGAGCAGCGGCGGCCGUUGCUCCUUCCUGUCUCAACAUCUCCACUCCCUUUGAGAGCUGCUCUCCACAGCCCAGGCCCAUGCAGGAGACUAUUCCGGUUGGUUCCUUCUGUGUGGCCCGGGACCGUGGUUCCCCUGCACCCAGACCCGGGUCCCGGCGCCUUGCUCCAGCAGCGCUCCUGGACUGUGUGAGGUGAGGCGGGCAAGCCCUGGCCACGUGGAGCUCACAUUCGUGGGGAGACCGCACGGUCGGCGCCCAGAGCUCCAAGUACAGGAGACACUGUCACCCAACAAGACGUUUGCACUUCCAGCUCCUCCCCUAUCUCUGCUUCUGAGAGCAGCCACCAGACAAGGGGUCUCCUGGUUUUCAGGAGGCCGAGUCACCUGGGACAAUCCAAGGGGACUUCAUGGAAGCCACUCCUGAGGCCGCAUGCGAAACUGGAACGCAGACAGGACGCGGCACUCGAAUAAGCCAAAUCCAGCUGCCCUAUACAGCAGGGCCUGCGGAGCCACCAAGCAAAGUAGGACUGGCUUCCCCGUGAAUCCUACUAAGUCAAGAACAGAGUAAAACUUCCUAGUCGCUUAUCAGAUCUCAGCUCCUUACUUGGUGAUGCACACAGUGGGUUUGACCCAAAAAAAAUAAAAGUCAGUGGAUAAAUAGAGACA